GGGGUCUACACCGAGGUGCCCUAAGCGGGGAAAGGAUGACAGCACAGUCUCCAAGGCAAUGUGGGAGGAAACAACAGCCUGACGCCAAGAUCAUUAAGUUCCCACAUGCCCUUUCGCCUUACCUCUUUGAAAAUGGAACCUCUGAAGUUACAGUGAUUUUACUCUUACUUCUCUCAAUGGUCACUGCACCUCCACCAAGAUUCCCAGCUUUUCCAUUCACUUUGAUUCGUUCCUGCAAAAACUGUUC
Long non-coding RNA from Alligator mississippiensis (American alligator), 247 nucleotides. RefSeq lists it as uncharacterized. The record is from RefSeq and is a predicted model, not a curated record. The transcript has 2 exons. Lineage: Eukaryota; Metazoa; Chordata; Crocodylia; Alligatoridae.